RNAcentral lists this long non-coding RNA (800 nucleotides) under Anas platyrhynchos platyrhynchos (common mallard). RNAcentral describes it as "lncRNA (ENSAPLG00000022888.1)". Lineage: Eukaryota; Metazoa; Chordata; Aves; Anseriformes; Anatidae. The record is from RNAcentral.
CGUCGCCAACCCCACGGCCGCACUGCUGGCGGCGUGCAUGAUGCUGGACCACCUGCGGCUGCACAACCACGCCUCCACCAUCCGCCAGGCCGUCCUCGCCUCAUUGGACGACCCCCGGACACACACGCCCGACAUCGGGGGACAGGGCACGACCUCGGGGGCGGUGCAGAGCAUCCUGUCCCACCUCGGCCGCCCCUAGGGGCGUGGCCUCCGCUGGGAGGGGCCACCGAGGGCGUGGCCUCGAGGAGGCGUGGCCUCCCGGAGUGGGAGGGGCCGCUCAUUAAUAAAUUACCCCCAAUCAGCCCCGCCUCCAGCUGUGCCACGCCUUUAUUCACACACACACAAUUAAAAGGGGGCGGGGCCUAUUGGGGGCGGGGCCUCCCGGAGGGGGAGGAGCCACUUGCCCCACCCCAAUAAGCCCCGCCCCCAGCCGUGCCACAGCUUCAUUCACACACACACAGAGGGGGCGGAGCCUGUUAAUGGGCGUGGCCCCGAGGGGCGUGGCCUAUUAGGGGGUAGCCAAUGGGAGGAGGAGCUUUAAGCCCCGCCCCUUUACAACCCACCCCGAUAAGCCCCGCCCCCGCCUCACCACCCCUCCAUUCACCCCCAUGGUGCUGGGUAGGGGCAGAGCCCGUUGGUGGGCGUGUCCCUGAGGGGGCGGGGCCUAUGGGGGGCGUGUCUAUGGGCGGAGCCAGGGGUGCUGCAGGCACUGCGCGGCGGUGGCGCGCCGGCCGGGCUCGAAGGCCAGCAUCGGGCGCAGGAAGCGCGCGAAGGCGGCGGCGGCGCCGCGGGGCCACUCG